CAGUAGCCGCGGGAAUACGUAGGCAGCGAGCGUUGUUCGGAAUUACUGGGCGUAAAGAGUGUGUAGGCGGUGCUCUAAGUUUGGUGUGAAAUCUCCCGGCUCAACUGGGAGGGUGCGCCGAAGACUGGAGUGCUCGAGCGUGGGAGAGGAAAGCGGAAUUCCUGGUGUAGCGGUGAAAUGCGUAGAUAUCAGGAGGAACACCUGUGGUGUAGACGGCUUUCUGGACCAUUGCUGACGCUGAGACACGAAAGCGUGGGUAGCAAACAGGAUUAGAUACCCCCGUAGUCCCUGUCUCUUAUAC
This 301-nucleotide ribosomal RNA is filed under the name uncultured bacterium. RNAcentral's name for it is "partial 16S ribosomal RNA". It matches the Rfam family "Bacterial small subunit ribosomal RNA", at positions 509 to 807 of the family's 1533-position model. The record is from RNAcentral.